This 496-nucleotide ribosomal RNA is filed under the name Salmonella enterica. RNAcentral's name for it is "bacterial SSU rRNA". It matches the Rfam family "Bacterial small subunit ribosomal RNA", at positions 1 to 488 of the family's 1533-position model. The record is from RNAcentral. Lineage: Bacteria; Pseudomonadati; Pseudomonadota; Gammaproteobacteria; Enterobacterales; Enterobacteriaceae.
AAAUUGAAGAGUUUGAUCAUGGCUCAGAUUGAACGCUGGCGGCAGGCCUAACACAUGCAAGUCGAACGGUAGCACAGAGAGCUUGCUCUCGGGUGACGAGUGGCGGACGGGUGAGUAAUGUCUGGGAAACUGCCUGAUGGAGGGGGAUAACUACUGGAAACGGUGGCUAAUACCGCAUAACGUCGCAAGACCAAAGAGGGGGACCUUCGGGCCUCUUGCCAUCAGAUGUGCCCAGAUGGGAUUAGCUUGUUGGUGAGGUAACGGCUCACCAAGGCGACGAUCCCUAGCUGGUCUGAGAGGAUGACCAGCCACACUGGAACUGAGACACGGUCCAGACUCCUACGGGAGGCAGCAGUGGGGAAUAUUGCACAAUGGGCGCAAGCCUGAUGCAGCCAUGCCGCGUGUAUGAAGAAGGCCUUCGGGUUGUAAAGUACUUUCAGCGGGGAGGAAGGUGUUGUGGUUAAUAACCACAGCAAUUGACGUUACCCGCAGAAGA